Molecule: long non-coding RNA, 1198 nt
Organism: Falco peregrinus (peregrine falcon)
Lineage: Eukaryota; Metazoa; Chordata; Aves; Falconiformes; Falconidae
Exons: 2
Source: RefSeq, a predicted model, not a curated record
CGGCGGGACUACAGCUCCCAGCGUGCCCCGCGCCCGCCCCGCCCCGCCGCGGGGCAUUGUGGGGGCUGUAGUCCGUGCCCUGAGGAAGCCCCGGCGGGCUUGCCACCGCGGGGCUGCUUCGGGGCUCCCCGGGACAGCGGGGACAGGCGUGUCUCAAGCGGCUGUUGUGGGGCACCGGCGGCUGGGCCAGGCUGCCUCCCCCCGGAAGGGGCUGAUGUACCUCUCACGGAUUCCUUCCCCUGACGGCUCAGCGAGCUGGGCCCCGGUGCCUCCCCAUCGGGGAGGCCUGAGCACCGCUGCGGCCCAGCCUGGGGGGCAGGAGUGGAGAGCCGCUGCCCUGCCCCUGCCACAGGUGGGCCCCGCCUGGCCCCCAGCUCCGGCCACAGGCCAUCCUGUCCUCUCUGAGGAGCCAAGGGGCCUCUCCACACCUCGUCUUGUGGCACAGACCCUCCUAACACAACAAAACCCAAGCAUGGCUCCCAGGAGAUAUUGCAGCCUCCAUCCGUGCCACUCCAGCAGAGCAGCCCACAGAGGCACCGUGUCCUCCGCUCCCCACAACUGCCCACUGCAUCUGUCCUGGAGCUGCUGGUGAGCAGCCCGUCCGUGCCUGGGGACACUGCCAUCUGGACCUCCUGGGACAAGUCCUGCACCAGGAAGGGCUUCAGGAUUUGGCUGCAGCAGGCAGCAGCCACAGAAGGGAAUGUGGCCGGGACCACCCUGUGUGGUAGCCCAGCCUGUGCCACCCUGUGAAAUGGGGAGCGUGGAAGGGAGGACGCAGAGAAGAUGAUGGUUCCCCUGGGCCCUGCUCAUUGCAAGCACCAGGGUGGAGUUUGGACCUCCAGCUUUGCAAAUGCUCUUCUGAGACACUUUGGACGUUCCCUAAACCUCCUCCUUCGAACGAUUUUAAUUAUACUGGCUGCUGUUCAAAUAAUAAUGACAGGGGGAGGAAUAAGUGCUAAGCAGCAGCCUGUCACGCUUUACGAGGUGUUCUUGGGGGAUGCUGGGCCAGACAAGCAGCUGGCCCAGAGCCGUGCCAGCCGAGUGGGUGCAGGCUCCAUCUCACACUGCCCACCAAUGGGCUCUGGGAUCUGGGCUGGCCCAUGUAUGCGUGAGAGCAUGUGCAAGUGCUCAGGUCUCCUUUCUUUCACCCUCUGUCUCCUUUUAUUCGCCUCCAUAAAACAUAGGAAGUCCAAGCCAU